Centruroides sculpturatus (bark scorpion) is the source of this 291-nucleotide long non-coding RNA. RefSeq lists it as uncharacterized. Lineage: Eukaryota; Metazoa; Arthropoda; Arachnida; Scorpiones; Buthidae. The transcript has 3 exons. The record is from RefSeq and is a predicted model, not a curated record.
UAACUAACAUUAGCAUGAAAAUUUGAGGUUCUGACCCAGAUUUGAACCUAUGUUGUCUGGAGCAGCAGGCUGAUAUCUUUAUUGUCUUGGCUAUUCAACUACAAACCUUGAGAUGUUAGAAGAAAGCACCUUAUAUUCAAAGAAAACAGCAGAGGAAGAAGCAGCACAUAAAAUGGAUAAAUCAGAAGAUGAUAUACCAAAAUAAAAACUAAUUUUGUGAAUUAUUAAUAAUUAAAAUGUGUUUUUAAAUACUUUGUAGACUUGGGAAAAAUUAAAUAAAAAUAUAAUAGU